Molecule: small nuclear RNA, 110 nt
Filed under: Dasypus novemcinctus (nine-banded armadillo)
Lineage: Eukaryota; Metazoa; Chordata; Mammalia; Cingulata; Dasypodidae
Source: RNAcentral
GUGCUCGCUUUGGCAGCAUAUAUAUAACUAAAAUUGGAAUGAUACAGAAAAGAUUAGCAUAGCCCCUGCAUAAGGAUGACAUGCAAAUUCGUGAAGCAUUCCAUAUUUUU